This 892-nucleotide unclassified non-coding RNA is filed under the name Aspergillus creber. RNAcentral's name for it is "sequence contains ITS1, 5.8S rRNA gene, ITS2". The stretch from base 522 to 892 matches the Rfam family "Eukaryotic large subunit ribosomal RNA", at positions 1 to 368 of the family's 3401-position model. Lineage: Eukaryota; Fungi; Ascomycota; Eurotiomycetes; Eurotiales; Aspergillaceae. The record is from RNAcentral.
GUAACAAGGUUUCCGUAGGUGAACCUGCGGAAGGAUCAUUACCGAGUGCGGGCUGCCUCCGGGCGCCCAACCUCCCACCCUUGACUACCUAACACUGUUGCUUCGGCGGGGAGCCCUCUCGGGGGCGAGCCGCCGGGGACUACUGAACUUCAUGCCUGAGAGUGAUGCAGUCUGAGUCUGAAUAUAAAAUCAGUCAAAACUUUCAACAAUGGAUCUCUUGGUUCCGGCAUCGAUGAAGAACGCAGCGAACUGCGAUAAGUAAUGUGAAUUGCAGAAUUCAGUGAAUCAUCGAGUCUUUGAACGCACAUUGCGCCCCCUGGCAUUCCGGGGGGCAUGCCUGUCCGAGCGUCAUUGCUGCCCAUCAAGCCCGGCUUGUGUGUUGGGUCGUCGUCCCCCCCGGGGGACGGGCCCGAAAGGCAGCGGCGGCACCGUGUCCGGUCCUCGAGCGUAUGGGGCUUUGUCACCCGCUCGAUUAGGGCCGGCCGGGCGCCAGCCGACGUCUCCAACCAUUUUUUUCAGGUUGACCUCGGAUCAGGUAGGGAUACCCGCUGAACUUAAGCAUAUCAAUAAGCGGAGGAAAAGAAACCAACCGGGAUUGCCCCAGUAACGGCGAGUGAAGCGGCAAGAGCUCAAAUUUGAAAUCUGGCCCCUCCGGGGUCCGAGUUGUAAUUUGCAGAGGAUGCUUCGGGUGCGGCCCCUGUCUAAGUGCCCUGGAACGGGCCGUCAGAGAGGGUGAGAAUCCCGUCUUGGGCAGGGUGCCCGUGCCCGUGUGAAGCUCCUUCGACGAGUCGAGUUGUUUGGGAAUGCAGCUCUAAAUGGGUGGUAAAUUUCAUCUAAAGCUAAAUACCGGCCGGAGACCGAUAGCGCACAAGUAGAGUGAUCGAAAGAUGAA